This 201-nucleotide long non-coding RNA is filed under the name Phoenix dactylifera (date palm). Its description in RNAcentral is "long non-coding RNA (PDAC_LNC006953)". Lineage: Eukaryota; Viridiplantae; Streptophyta; Magnoliopsida; Arecales; Arecaceae. The record is from RNAcentral.
UGAGUCCGCUGCUUAAUAGUUGAUUAGAUUAGAAUCAUACUCUUGCUAAGUUUAAAUUCCACUAAGCAUCCAUACAACUUAGCUUAUUUAACUCUAAAAGAUUAGAAGUAGUUGAAAAGUUUUUAAAAGACCCAAUUCACCCCCCCCCUCUUGGGUUGUCACCUUGGGCAACAAGUGGUAUCAGAGCAGGUGCUCUAAGAU